UGGGGAAUAUUGCACAAUGGGGGAAACCCUGAUGCAGCGACGCCGCGUGAAGGAAGAAGUAUCUCGGUAUGUAAACUUCUAUCAGCAGGGAAGAUAGUGACGGUAAUUACUUAGAAAGUCACGGCUAACUACGUGCC
This 137-nucleotide ribosomal RNA is filed under the name uncultured bacterium. RNAcentral describes it as "partial 16S ribosomal RNA". It matches the Rfam family "Bacterial small subunit ribosomal RNA", at positions 355 to 509 of the family's 1533-position model. The record is from RNAcentral.